Long non-coding RNA from Arabidopsis thaliana (thale cress), 523 nucleotides. RefSeq annotates it as other RNA. The record is from RefSeq. NCBI's taxonomy places the organism in Eukaryota, Viridiplantae, Streptophyta, Magnoliopsida, Brassicales, Brassicaceae. The transcript has a single exon.
UCAUAAUGAUAAAUCGAUGUCGAUGAUAAAUUGAUGAUGAUGGCUCCGGUAUGUGUACCCUAGGAGUUGUAGCUAGCUAGCUAGGACCAUGUAUAUACAUACAUACAUAUAUUAGUGUUUUUUGUAACUUGUACGUACCUUACAUAGAGUAUGGAGUUUACUAAAACGGCAACGUUUGGUGGGGGUAGUGAAUUCGCAAGUGGGGAUGAGUCUAUGUAAUAGAAGAUGCAACAUGCAAAUGGUCCCCUUUCUGUUUUUAUUUAAAGAAAUGAGUGUUUACUGAGGAGGAAACAUCCCAUUUAUAGAUUCACACCCAUAAAAGCAAACCACUUCUCCUUCUUUUUAUUUCCCCAUGAUAUUACUUCGAGAAUAUUUUGAAAAUUUGAAGUGUACAUUUAGAGAUUGUGUACUUUGAACACUCAUGUCAAAUGCAUCUAAAUACAUAAACUCCAAUUUAAAAUAAUCGUCUAAACCUAGAGUGCCAUUUGUUUAGCCAUUUGUUGGUCUUCAUUUCUCAUGCUUU